AAGGUGGGGAGUGACGUCAAAUCAUCAUGCCCCUUAUGACCUGGGCUACACACGUGCUACAAUGGUUGGUACAACGAGUUGCGAGUCGGUGACGGCGAGCUAAUCUCUUAAAGCCAAUCUCAGUUCGGAUUGUAGGCUGCAACUCGCCUACAUGAAGUCGGAAUCGCUAGUAAUCGCGGAUCAGCACGCCGCGGUGAAUACCGGUUCCCGGGCCUU
RNAcentral lists this ribosomal RNA (216 nucleotides) under uncultured Streptococcus sp. RNAcentral describes it as "partial 16S ribosomal RNA". It matches the Rfam family "Bacterial small subunit ribosomal RNA", at positions 1170 to 1382 of the family's 1533-position model. The record is from RNAcentral. Lineage: Bacteria; Bacillati; Bacillota; Bacilli; Lactobacillales; Streptococcaceae.